GUAGGGAAUCUUCCGCAAUGGACGCAAGUCUGACGGAGCAACGCCGCGUGAGUGAAGAAGGUUUUCGGAUCGUAAAACUCUGUUGUUAGAGAAGAACAAGUGCUAGAGUAACUGUUAGCGCCUUGACGGUAUCUAACCAGAAAGCCACGGCUAACUACGUGCCAGCAGCCGCGGUAAUACGUAGGUGGCAAGCGUUGUCCGGAUUUAUUGGGCGUAAAGCGAGCGCAGGCGGUUCCUUAAGUCUGAUGUGAAAGCCCCCGGCUCAACCGGGGAGGGUCAUUGGAAACUGGGGAACUUGAGUGCAGAAGAGGAGAGUGGAAUUCCAUGUGUAGCGGUGAAAUGCGUAGAUAUAUGGAGGAACACCAGUGGCGAAGGCGACUCUCUGGUCUGUAACUGACGCUGAGGCUCGAAAGCGUGGGUAGCAAACAGGAUUAGAAACCCCAGUAGUCC
RNAcentral lists this ribosomal RNA (450 nucleotides) under uncultured bacterium. RNAcentral describes it as "bacterial SSU rRNA". It matches the Rfam family "Bacterial small subunit ribosomal RNA", at positions 354 to 796 of the family's 1533-position model. The record is from RNAcentral.